GACGAACGCUGGCGGCGUGCUUAACACAUGCAAGUCGAACGGAAAGGCCCUGCUUUUGUGGGGUGCUCGAGUGGCGAACGGGUGGGUAACACGUGAGUAACCUGCCCUUGACUUUGGGAUAACUUCAGGAAACUGGGGCUAAUACCGGAUAGGAGCUCCUGCUGCAUGGUGGGGGUUGGAAAGUUUCGGCGGUUGGGGAUGGACUCGCGGCUUAUCAGCUUGUUGGUGGGGUAGUGGCUUACCAAGGCUUUGACGGGUAGCCGGCCUGAGAGGGUGACCGGCCACAUGGGGACUGAGAUACGGCCCAGACUCAUACGGGAGGCAGCAGUGGGGAAUAUUGCACAAUGGGCGGAAGCCUGAGGCAGCAACGCCGCGUGCGGGAUGACGGCCUUCGGGUUGUAAACCGCUUUCGCCUGUGACGAAGCGUGAGUGACGGUAAUGGGUAAAGAAGCACCGGCUAACUACGU
RNAcentral lists this ribosomal RNA (467 nucleotides) under uncultured bacterium. RNAcentral's name for it is "partial 16S ribosomal RNA". It matches the Rfam family "Bacterial small subunit ribosomal RNA", at positions 28 to 506 of the family's 1533-position model. The record is from RNAcentral.